UUCUAUUAGACUUCAUUAAUAGUAAGAUCUGCUCAAUGAUAAAUUAAAUAGCCGCAAUUCGUGCUAAGGUAGCAUAAUCACUUGUCUUUUAAAUAAGGACUAGAACAAAAGAUUUAACAUUUUAACUUAUUUACCUUCUAUAAUAUACCAAACUUUUCUUAAAUGUAAAAGGACAUUUAUUCUAAAGAAAGACGAUAAGACCCUAUUGAACUUAACUUCAGUUAAACUGGGGCAGUAAAUAAAUUAACACUUUUAAUAAAAUAAAACCUCAUUUAUCCAGUAUUAUUGAAUAAUUCAGUUACCAUAGGGAUAACAGCGUAAUUAUAUUUUAAAGUUCUCAUUUUCAAUAUAGAUUGCAACCUCGAUGUUGAAUAAUAACCUAAAUAAGGCAAGACUUAAUAAAGGAGGUCUGUUCGACCUUUAAAAAAUUACA
This 433-nucleotide ribosomal RNA is filed under the name Plexippus paykullii. RNAcentral's name for it is "Plexippus paykulli partial 16S ribosomal RNA". It matches the Rfam family "Bacterial large subunit ribosomal RNA", at positions 1831 to 2600 of the family's 2925-position model. Lineage: Eukaryota; Metazoa; Arthropoda; Arachnida; Araneae; Salticidae. The record is from RNAcentral.